RNAcentral lists this ribosomal RNA (301 nucleotides) under uncultured bacterium. RNAcentral's name for it is "partial 16S ribosomal RNA". It matches the Rfam family "Bacterial small subunit ribosomal RNA", at positions 509 to 807 of the family's 1533-position model. The record is from RNAcentral.
CAGCCGCCGCGGUAAUACGUAGGGUGCAAGCGUUAAUCGGAAUUACUGGGCGUAAAGCGUGCGCAGGCGGUUCUAUAAGAUAGAUGUGAAGUCCCCGGGCUCAACCUGGGAACUGCAUUUGUGACUGUAGAGCUGGAGUGCGGCAGAGGGGGAUGGAAUUCCGCGUGUAGCAGUGAAAUGCGUAGAUAUGCGGAGGAACACCGAUGGCGAAGGCAAUCCCCUGGGCCUGCACUGACGCUCAUGCACGAAAGCGUGGGGAGCAAACAGGAUUAGAUACCCCUGUAGUCCCUGUCUCUUAUAC